Long non-coding RNA from Eleginops maclovinus (Patagonian blennie), 682 nucleotides. RefSeq lists it as uncharacterized. The transcript is spliced from 3 exons. The record is from RefSeq and is a predicted model, not a curated record. Lineage: Eukaryota; Metazoa; Chordata; Actinopteri; Perciformes; Eleginopidae.
CACGAAAAAAGAGUUAGUUCCUUGCAGUUCGAAGUGUCCUGUCCACAUUAUUCAGUGGCCAUUAGGAAUAAUUGGAAUCAACUCUGAGUGACUGCAAGAAAGAAAGAAAGAAAGAAAGAAAGAAGAAAGCUGAGAACAGGGGCGGCAUCAGUUCCAUUCUGGAGGAGGAGGCCUCAGAGCGUAGGAGGGAGCCGUCUUGCUGGUCUCCAACACCUGAUGAUCACACAAAAGAACAUUUCUUAUUAGUUUGAAUGUCUUACUCAUUCUCUCAUUAUCAUUUCUUAUUGAGCAAUAUAUUAUUAUAGAAGAAGCAGUGAAACUUGUUUUUAAAAAGAGCUCUGACUUUUAUCAGCUGCAACACUAAAGUGAUAAACUAAUCCAGUCCAAAACCUUUAAUAUCCAGUUUAUUGAGCGGUGUACACUAAAACCUAUUGAAAAUGGUGUUGGUUGGAAUAACAACAUUUGUAAGUUGUCUUGUGAACAUUUUAUAACUCUGUACUCUGUGCCAUAAAAAUGUAUCUGAUCUGUUGCUAUGAGUUGGAUUUUUAACUGCUGCCCCGGUAAAAGAAGUAACUUUUAAAGGCACUUUCCUAAAGAGGAUAUGUUGGCAUCAGUAAUCUCCAGACUUUGUAGAAUAUGUACAGAAUUAAACGACGGAAAAAAUAAGUUUGCGAUACUUUGU